Non-coding RNA from Rattus norvegicus (Norway rat), 8559 nucleotides. Lineage: Eukaryota; Metazoa; Chordata; Mammalia; Rodentia; Muridae. The record is from RefSeq and is a predicted model, not a curated record.
CUCACUGGGUACCACACACACAGAAUGAGCCUAUACAUUGCCUCUGGAGUGGAGACCAGAGCAUUCAACCAGGGAUGCCAUCUCCACGUAGACCCUGAACCAUUUCCAGUGGAGUCUGAGUGACCAAGUAACCUUUGCUGGCUUUGGAGAGAUGCCCUAUAAGGUCAGGACUCUGGAGCCUUCUACAGAAUUCUCCAUCAGCUUCGUAUGGCCACAGGAAGUCAACAUUGCUGUGUACAGAUGUCCGAAAUGGCCUGGCACACAGAUUUGACUGUAAGUUGGAGACUGCUAUGUCUUUGUCUCCACAGUGCCCCUGGCUAUGAAGGGUUUCUACUGAUUUAGGGGCAGCAGGAAGGCACUCCAUGUCUGCCAGCCCCCCCCCCACCCCCCUCCGCAGAAGGAAAGGGACAUCUAUCCAGGCUUCUGUCUCUGGCAAUCAGCCCACAGAAGGGGAAGGAAUGAGCCUCCCCAGGUUUUUCUUGGCCUGUGAUCUCAUUCAAAUGGGGUCCUAAAGGCUGGUGUUACUAACACCAUUUGCAUCUGCAAAUGGCAAGAGGUAAACAGGGUUGGGUUGUUUUUCUUUUAUCUGUCACUCUGUGCCUGUUGUCCCUUCUUAGCAUCCUGGGUGGGUCCUAGAAAGGUCUAUGCCCUUUAAUAGGGAAAGGCCAUCUUCAACUCACCUUCUACCUCUACCUCUCAGAGUCAGUUGAGUGACUCUCCAAGAGGGGACUUCCUACAGGAUCAACAUCCCAUAAGCUCUGUACAGGAAGCUCUAUGCAGGGCUGGCGGCAGGUGAGCAGGUGUAAACCACCUUUGCAACCUUCUGUUCUACCCUCCCCCACCCCCCUCUCCUUCCUCCUCAUCGUCUUCCUCUGCCCUCUCCUUCCUUCCUUCCUUCUUUCCUUCCUUCCUUCCUUCCUUCCUUCCUUCCUUCCUUUCUUCCUUCCUCCCUCCCUCCUUUCCUUCCUACUUCCCUCCCUUCCUUCCCAUGUGGUAAAUGAAGGAUCACCAUUCCCUUCAGGCUUCACCCAUGGGGACAAGCUUCUUCCAGAAGACAAUAUGAGCAGCAGAGGUCCCUAGAGAGACAGCAGCCCUGAACUGGGGCAGUGACAAGGAACCUGAGAGGAAGAAUGAAGUUUCCUCUUGACUCCUGCUGCUGGCCCCUACUGUUUGUGCUGCCGCUAAGUAGCACGUGCCUGCUCUCACUCUGCCCUGCCAUACCUGUACCUGAUACUCAACGGUACUGAAGAGCACAUUGUGGGCUGGCGGCAGAGAGCUUACCGUGGUAGAAAGGACAUAAUGAACAGAGCUGUCUCCAGGACCAUGCAGUCAUUUUCUCUGACACGUUUAAUGAACUAAAACCUUACAUAAGGCGUUACCUCUUCAUGAUUCUGUUGUCUCCCAAUAGUGUGGGCUGGAGGCCACAGCAACAGUAAGCUCUUGGGAACAUUCUAAAUCCAAACUACAGUGGGACAUGAUGUUGGGCUGGCCGAGCUGGACUCCUUUUGGGGGUUGCCAUAUUUUAUUUUAUUUUAUUUUUUAUUUUGAGACAGGGUCUCUUUUUGUAGUCCUGUCUGUCCUGGAACUCGCUAUGUAAGCCAGGCUGGCCUUGAACUCAUAGAGACCCACCAGCCUCUGCCUCUGCCUCUCUGCCUCUCUGCCUCUCUGCCUCUCUGCCUCUCUGCCUCUCUGCCUCUCUGCCUCUCUGCCUCUCUGCCUCUCUGCCUCUCUGCCUCUCUGCCUCUCUCUGCCUCUCUCUGCCUCUCUGCCUCUCUGCCUCUCUCUGCCUCUUUGCUUCUCUCUGCUGCCCCUUUGCCCCUCUACCUCUGCCUCUGGCCUUUGGCCUCUGCAUCUGCCUCUGCCCUCUGCCCUCUACCCUCUGGCCUCUGCCUGCUCUGCCUCAGUUUCCUCUGCCCUCUGCCCUUUACCCUCUGGCCUCUGCCUUCUCUACCUCUGACCACUGGUCUAUGCCCUCUGGCCUCUGGCCUCUGGCUCUGCCUCUGCCUGCUCUGCCUCAGCUGCCUCUGCCCUCUGCCCUUUGCCCUCUGCCCUCUACCCUCUACCCUCUACCCUCUACCCUCUACCCUCUACCCUCUGCCCUCUGCCUUCUCUGCCUUCUCUGCCUUCUCUGCCUCUGCCCUCUGCCUUCUCUGCCUCUGCCCUCUGCCUUCUCUGCCUCUGCCUUUGCCCUCUGGCCUCUGCUCUUUGGCCUCUGGCCUCUGCCUCUGCCUCUGCCUCUGCCUCAGUGUUAGAAUUAAAGGUGUGCUCCACAUGCCCAGCCUGUCAUUUCUUUGUAUGUGCCUGCAUGGGUUUAUAUGGAAGUCAGAGGUUAGCCUCAGGUGUCAUUCUUCGUGUUCUUCCAGAGUCUCGUGAUCUACCAGAGUCUUAGGCACUUGUUUAUCACACUUUGGUUGUCACAGAUAUCUGAAAAUGGCAUUUAUAGCCAUCUCUACUGAAAGACACAGUAGCCGUUAGUUCACUGCCAGACCCUGUUACUUAGUGUGCUAAUAAAGAAACACCAGUCAUUGUGUUGAAGAUUUGUUUCACAUUUUGGAUUCUAAGUAGCAAGUUUUGAAUACAGCCCUAGGCAUUUGAUUUUGUGUGUGAAGAACCAUGAUGCCUCAGAAGACUUCCCUGCUUCACCAAUGCCGAGUCACACUCAGAAGCUCUGCUCCAGGUCUAAUUCCUGGCAUUGAGACUUUGGCCACACUGCUCUGGCUGAAGGAAAUGCUAUCUUUAGCAUUAAAGAAGGAUUUAAUGCUCCUUUUCCCUGGAACAGUCAUUGCUGACCCUCGCUGUUCAGACUUAAUCACUCACAGUCUAAUCAUCCUGGCUUGCAGAAACUGGAGUGGUCAUAUUGAGUGUGUGUGUGUAUGUGUGUGUGUGUGUGUGUGUGUGUGUGUGUGUGUGUGUAGAAGUGUUUCCACAUUCUGUGCCUAGAACUUCACCACUCAUUAGGAUAUCAUUUGAAAGACAAAAUGGGGUGUGUGCACAUGGUGCGUUUAGUGUUUGUGUGUGUGUACAUCUGUGUGUGCAAGAGAGCACUCGUGCCAGUGUUCAGAGUAGGAGGGUGUGUGCUUCCUGUCUUAGUUUGAAAUGACUGGUAAGAAUGCUUCCUUGGAUGCUCUGCAGGCUCUGGAUGAAGCAAACCUAGAGAAGAUAUAGAGACCAGGUCACGCAGGAAGAUAGAUAUGUGUUCUCUCCCAGCUGCCUGAGAUCCCAGAAGAUCUGGGAUUAUCUGUCCUGAGAUCAGGUGACUCACACAAACAGGAUGUCCUAGUGCUGGCAACCAGGGCAGGCUCUGAGAGGUUUGGCUCAGAUGGGAAGAACUUCAGAUAAGAGCUGAUUCCCUCAAGGGCCAGCAUCUCACCCCUGCUAAACCCUCCAGCCUCUCACAGUGGAACAGCUCCCUGAGCAAGGACACCAGGGUCAGGGGCUUGAGCCACUUCUGCCUCACAUGGAACUUCCUGGUUCCCACGUUUGUUCACUCCCCCUCUCAGCCUCUCCCUGCCACCAGGCCCCUCAGAACCAGAGCUUCCGCUCCUGUAGCAGACUCUGCCAGGCAGUGUCCCAGCAGGAUGCACACUCAACACACAAUCCCUGAGCGCUUCUGUAUGAAGGAGCCAGGGAGUAGAAGGGACAGUGUCACCUCCCACAGUCCCCAUGUCCCAGCAGCAGAGACUGGAUGACAGAUCCAGGAGGGUGGACUGUAGAAAAGUCUGCCGUGAAAAGCCCAGUGACCCUUGGCUUAGGGACAGGUCCAGUGUGAGGCAGACAGGGACUCUGGGAUGAGGCUCUCAGCCCCUGACUGACUUCCAGUUUCUCACUCUGGCUGUUCAUUUGUCCAGUCAAUGGGAAGCCAGUGGUGCUUUAGGACAUGAUCCUCAGUGAUCGGUCCAAGCUCAGGACAAAUGAGGAAGGCAGAACACAGAGCUGAUGUGGUAGAGGACAAACUGUCCUCAUGUAUCCCUCUGCCAGACUGGGGAGCAUUCUCUUUGCCUACGACAGUCACAUUUGUUAUUUGGGGCCUGUUCGAUGAGUAGGUAUUGAGUGAAUGAGCGAGUAGGUGAAUGAAUGAAUGAAUGAAUGAAUGAUCCUUCAAAUCUUUCCUUGUUAGCAAUAAAACUUCCUUUCCAUGUUGUGAUCUUCUAGAAAGUCAGUAAGGCCAAAACAACCUGCAGGUGGCACCGAGCUGUCUCCAGAGAAGAGUGGGAAAGAGUACACAGGCUUACCUGGUUGGGGUGGGGGUGGGGGAUGCAAAUGACUAGAGACCUCAAGGUUGGAAUCUGGAACUUUAUAGACAGACAAGAACAUAGAGAUGUUAGCUGAAGAAUUUGGAGACAGACUAGGAUGCCCUCAGAAGGAACCCCAAGAUAGUCUCUUUUGUGGGGGAUUGACUAUCAUUUAUUUGUUUGUUUGUUUGUGCAUGGGAAUUUCUCAUCUGCUCACACACGAUGGCGCGCGUGCGUGAGCACACACACACACACACACACACACACACACACAUACACACGUAUACGUAUACGUAUUUGUAUAUAUGUCCACCACAUACAUGCAGUACCAAAGACGGCCAGAAGAGAACAUAAGAUGCUCUUAGAACUGGAGAUAGAGACAGGUGUGAGCUACCAUGUAAGUGCUGGGAAUAGAACUCAGACCCUGCAGAAGAGUAGCCAGUGCUGUUUGUCACUGAGCCAUCAUCUCUCCAACCCCUACAAAUUCCUUUUGGUCUGAUACAGCUAACUUUCUUUUUCUUAUAGCUUUUUCUUAUAGACAAUGAUGACACACACCUUUAACCCCAGAACUCAGGAAGUAAGAGGCUGGUAGAUCUCUGAGUUCAAGGCCAGCCUGGUCUAUAGAGAGAGUUCCAGGACAACUUGGAUUAUACAGAGCAGCAUAACUUUAUUGUUUAAAAAUAGCAAAUAGGACAAAGCAGCUAAAAUGAUAAAAGUGGUUCAAAAGUAUUGAUAUCUUGGUAUACAUCUUUCUGGAUUUUCUCAUCUCAAUUUCUUUUCUUUCUUUCUUUUUCCCCCCCCAGUUCCCUAUAGUUCCCAACCAGAGCUAAAAUAUCUACUGCAUUUUAAGUACUUUCUUUAUAUAGACACAGUGCAAAACAGUUUGCAUGCAUUGGCUCACUAAAUUUCUAUUUUGUAGGCAUAUAGGCAUGGAAAAGUUAAGUGUAUUGUCCAAAACCACACAGCUAGUAAGUGGGAGAGUUGAACCAGAGCAAGCCAACUCUAGAGCCCACAUUCUUCUGCCAGUUUCAUGGCUCCUAAGUGGGAUAGAGAUAGCUAGCUAGAACAAUCUCAACCUGGUAGUUUGCAGCUAGUGUUUGUCAGGCAUCAGCCUUUAGCUCCAGCACAUGGAAGGCAGAGGCAGUUGGAUCUCUGAGUUUGAAGCUAACAUGGUCUACAUAAUGAGAUCCAGGCCAGCCAGGGGUACAUAGUGAGAAACUGAUACCAGGAGUGGGGUAUUGCUGUGGCAGGCUACCCUUCCUUCUCGUUGGCAGAAUGUGGACCUUGGGACUUGGGUUAGGAAAGCAGUUGAUCUCUUUGAGUGGGGCUUAUGGGGUCAUACUGGUAGUAGCAUGGCAGACAGUGGUGCUGAGAGCAACAUAGAUUAUGACAGACUGGAUCAAGGGGUUUCAGAGAAGUUAGCAUAUGACCUAGAGUCCAUUCUUCUGAGAGGUGAAGAAUGUGGCUGCUUUCUGUCCUUGUUCAAAAAAAUCUGCCUGAGGCUCAAAUUUUGGAUUAAUAGCAUUGGCAGAGGAGAUUUCAAGACAGCCUAACAUUGGCAUUGCUGCUUGGUUAGCUGCCAUGUUUAUGCAGGUCUAUGAUGAAAAUGGACAAACUAAACAAGGAAAAAUACAAUGUACGGUUUGAGAAGAAAAAGAGCACCAGGAAAUGUAAUGGAGCUAAGGCUCUGAUCUGAAAUGGAAUAAAGGGACUAAUGGCCUCAGGGCAGGACCCCAUCCAGCUAAGCAUCUAACCAGUGAAGAGGAAUUAAUGAAAAGCGUAGGACUGGGUGAAGUGGCACACGCCUUUAAUCCCAGCACUCAGGAAGUAGAGGCAGGCAGAUCUGUGAGUUUGAGGACAGCCUGGACCACAGAGAGAGUCCCAGGAUAUCCAGACUUAAACAGUGAAGGAAACCAUCAAAUACAGAAAGCUGAUGCAGAUGCCAUGUUCCAACCCCAGCAAGCAAAAGAACUUAGCAUCUUUGGCUAUGUGGUUCUGGCUUAAGAGUCAAGGAUACAAGAAAGGAGAUGUGGAAUCUCCCCUAUGGCUAACGAAAGCUACUAUGGCCAGGCAGGUAUCAGGGCUAUCCCUGCACAGAUGCCCAGAGUCCAUUGUGUGAAGCUAUGAAAGUUAAACCUGGAUUGCUUUGGAGACCCCAAGAUGUUGGAGAUGCCAGAGCUGUGGGACACCUGCCAAGGAAAGCUGCUGACAGGGAGUGGAACCAGCCCAAGAGGAAGAGAUGCAUUGCCAUCAACAAAGCAGAAAGGAGUUGGAGAUCUGAAGAGUCCUUUGACCUCAGACAUGGACGUGCAUAGUUUGGAGUUUGCCUGAUAGGUUUUAGACCUUGCUUUGUCCAGUAUUUCUUACCAUGCUCUUUUAUGGAAUGGUGAAGUAUAUUCUGUGCCAUUGUAUGUUCGAAGUUAGCAAUCUGCUUUUGCUUUUGCAGGGGGUUACAGUUAAGAGGCUGUCAUGAGUCUCCAAAGAGCCUUUCACCUUUAGACAUUUAAUCAGUGUUGAGACUGUGAUGAUUAUGGAUGGGGGCUUUUUUUUUUUUCCUUUCCUUUUUUUCGGAGCUGGGGACCGAACCCAGGGCCUUUGUGCUCCAUAGGCAAGCGCUUUACCGCUGAGCUAAAUCCCCAACCCCUGGAUGGGGGCUUUUGAAGUUAGACUAAAUGCAGUUUUGCGUCAUAAUAUGGCUGCAAGCCUAUGGGGGCCAGGAAGAGGAAUGUGGUGGUGUGAAUAUGAAAGGCCCCCAAAAGUUGACAUGGAUUAGGAGGUGUGGCCUUGUUGGGGUAGGUAUGGCUUUUGGGCUUUUGGGUUUCAAUUGCCCAGGAAUGGCCACUUCAACUCCAGAGAGGCAAGCAUAUAUUAGGCAUGUGUGUGCCGUGUUGUCUGUUAGUCUUUGGGGUUUACUAGGAGAGUAAGUUAGUGCUGGGGACACGGCUCAUCUGGCAGACUGACUACUGAGCAUAUGCAGAGCCCUGGGUUUAAUGCCUAGGACCACAUGAGUUUGGUACAGUGGCACUUGCCAGUAAUCCCAGCACUUGGGAUGUAAAAGCAAGAGGAUCAGAAGUGUAAGGUCAUGGUUGGCUACAUAGAGAGAUCAAGGCCAGCCUAAGACAAUACAUACAUGUAACUUUGUAACUUUGUCUCUAAAGACAAGAAAGGCAGAAUAAAAUAUUGCUGUGGAGCUCUUUCUGUUCUCUCCAGGUCAAGACAGACAGCCAGAUUGCAGCAUCGGUACACCUGUUCUCUGAUGCGGACCAGAGCCUGUUGGUGACUGAGCGUCAUGAGCAGCUCAGGUCUGUGCUGCUUACCUCCCUUCAGGCCCUCUACAGUGAUGCUACUAUCAGUUCUCUUACUUGGCCCAGGUUAGGGUUGGAAUUCUUUGGCCAUUCUUUCUCCGAAUGACUUAUCAUCAUCCCAUCUCUUCUUGUAAUACAGUCCAAGAUGACCACCUACCUAAUCAUUCAACGUCAAGGAUUAAGGAUUCCUAAAUUUUAACUUGAGCUUUCCAGUGCAGUAAACUAGGACUCAACACGAAUAGCCAAAAGCCACAGGACAGCAAGGAACUCAACAGAGUGGAAUCUGUGUGGCGGCCCUAGGCGAGCAUUCUGUGUCCCAUGGAUUUAACCUCUGGCGUGCCAUGUUCUGAAACAUAAUGCCUCUGGCCUCUGCCACUGCUUGCCUGUCUGGUGGGUUAAGGCAUCAGAGCUCUCGGCUCUAAUGGAAAGUCACGCCUGAGACCAGAGUUGAUGAAAAGUAGAGGACUCAGCCAGCCGCACGAGGCUUCCUACUCACCUGGACAAGGCCAUUAGCGCUCCUGUAGUUAACUGGACCGUUCCAUUGCCUGGCACACUGGUAUCCCAGAAAUACCCACCUGGGUGUGUCCCACAUGAAACAAGCCCACUCCAUGAAAACCGAGACCUGUUGAAAAGAUAAAUGAGAGGUUCCAGGGGCUAAAAAGAUCCAGAUGGGGCCCAUCCUGCUCCUGCCUCCUCCCAUCCCUCAGCCUGGAAGGCUCUGAGGACACUGUUUCCGCUGUGUUGCUCUACGUGUGGCAGGCUGAUCUCUGGGAAUCCUCCAGAACGGCUGCCCUCCUGCCUACCCCAGCACACACACUGGAUCCCAGACUCCCAGGACUGUCAGUACGGAUGUUGUCUGUCACAGGGGACCCUAAGCAACGGAGGUGAUGCCAGCAGGCUUAAUCCAACCCAGCUAGCAAUGUGAACCAGCCUUCUGACAUCCCAGCAAGGGCGAAGCCACACUCCUGUAUGCUGCAGUGCGAUGAGUUCAGCAGGAACUGAGAAUGAAUGGAAUGAACAGC